GAUGAGCGCUAGCGGCAGGCUUAACACAUGCAAGUCGAGGGGCAGCGCGGGAUAGCAAUAUCCUGGCGGCGACCGGCGGAAGGGUGCGUAACGCGUGAGCGACAUGCCCGUUGCCCGGGGACAACCGGUGGAAACGCCGACUAAUCCCCGAUGGGAUACGAUGCUUCGUGGCAUUGUAUUGAAAGUUACGGCGGCGACGGAUUGGCUCGCGUCCGAUUAGCUGGUUGGCGGGGUAACGGCCCACCAAGGCUGCGAUCGGUAGGGGUUCUGAGAGGAAGGCCCCCCACAAUGGGACUGAGACACGGCCCAUACUCCUACGGGAGGCAGCAGUGAGGAAUAUUGGUCAAUGGGCGGAAGCCUGAACCAGCCAUGCCGCGUGCGGGAAGGAGGCCCUAUGGGCUGUGAACCGCUUUUGCCUGGGGGCAAUAAGGGCGUCGCGCACGUCCGAUGAGAGUACCAGGCGAAUAAGCAUCGGCUAACUCCGUG
This 486-nucleotide ribosomal RNA is filed under the name uncultured bacterium. RNAcentral describes it as "partial 16S ribosomal RNA". It matches the Rfam family "Bacterial small subunit ribosomal RNA", at positions 28 to 507 of the family's 1533-position model. The record is from RNAcentral.